GGAUGGGUUCCCGAGCGGCCAAAGGGGGCAGACUGUAAAUCUGCUGACAACGUCUUCGAAGGUUCGAAUCCUUCUCCAUCCA
This 82-nucleotide transfer RNA is filed under the name Lachnospiraceae bacterium. RNAcentral's name for it is "tRNA-Tyr". It matches the Rfam family "tRNA". From Rfam's summary of the family: Transfer RNA (tRNA) molecules are approximately 80 nucleotides in length. Their secondary structure includes four short double-helical elements and three loops (D, anti-codon, and T loops). Further hydrogen bonds mediate the characteristic L-shaped molecular structure. tRNAs have two regions of fundamental functional importance: the anti-codon, which is responsible for specific mRNA codon recognition, and the 3' end, to which the tRNAs corresponding amino acid is attached (by aminoacyl-tRNA synthetases). tRNAs cope with the degeneracy of the genetic code in two manners: having more than one tRNA (with a specific anti-codon) for a particular amino acid; and 'wobble' base-pairing, i.e. permitting non-standard base-pairing at the 3rd anti-codon position. The record is from RNAcentral. Lineage: Bacteria; Bacillati; Bacillota; Clostridia; Lachnospirales; Lachnospiraceae.